Molecule: long non-coding RNA, 1961 nt
Organism: Bolinopsis microptera
Lineage: Eukaryota; Metazoa; Ctenophora; Tentaculata; Lobata; Bolinopsidae
Exons: 4
Source: RefSeq, a predicted model, not a curated record
AUGAGUUGUUCAAUUGUUUAAUUUCAGAGCUGCAAGGUCGGCAAGGAAAAACAGCCCUAGCCUACCGAGUAUCCGCAAAGUAUAAAUUGAUAGGCGAGCGACAGUCAGCGAGUAGUUUGACAGCGAUUAAAAACUCAAACCAAAAUCAGACUUUAAAGUUAUGAAGGCUGCUCUUCAAGAGCUAACAUCGACUUCACGAUCACUUGGAAAACCCUCAUCUCUUAAAUUAGCUUUGGAGCUUUCUGUCAAACGGAGGCAUCAGUAGCAUCAGCAAGACUCAGAAGAUGAUCAUUAUAAUAUCUCUGCAAACAGAAAACGACAGCUUGAAAACAGUCACGUAUCUUGCAUCCCAGAAAGAACUUAACAACAUCGCAGAAGAAACCUAACAACAUCCCAAAAGGAACCUAACUACAUCGCAGAAGGAACCUAACAACAUCGCAGAAGGAACCUAACAACAUCCCAGAAGUAUCAUCAUAUCCCAGAAGAAACCUAACAACAUCCUAAAAGGAACCUAACAACAUUGCAGAAGAAACCUAACAACAUCCCAAAAGGAACCUAACUACAUCGCAGAAGGAACCUAACUACAUCGCAGAAGGAACCUAACAACAUCGCAGAAGGAACCUAACAACAUCCCAGAAGUAUCGUCAUAUCCCAGAAGAAACCUAACAACAUCCUAAAAGGAACCUAACAACAUCGCAGAAGAAACCUAAAAACAUCCCAAAAGGAACCUAACUACAUCGCAGAAGGAACCUAACUACAUCGCAGAAGGAACCUAACAACAUCGCAGAAGGAACCUAACAACAUCCCAGAAGUUAUCAUCAUAUCCCAGAAGAAACCUAACAACAUCCUAAAAGGAACCUAAUAACAUCGCAGAAGAAACCUAACAACAUCCCAAAAGGAACCUAACUAUAUCGCAGAAGGAAUCUAACAACAUCACAGAAAGAUUGAAAGAACUUGACAACAUCUUAGAAGAAACCUAACAUCCCAGAAGGAACUUAACAACGUCCCAUAAGGCACCUAACAACUCAGAAGGAACUUAACAACGUCCCAGAAGGGAACUAACAAUAUCCCAAAAGGAACCUAAAAUUAUCGCAGAAUGAACUUGACAACAUCUUAGAAAGAACCUAACGGCUAACAUCCCAUAAGGAACCUUAAAACAUCCCAGAAGGAACCCAACAUCGCAGAAGUUACCUGACAACAUCUUCUAGAAGGAACCUAACAUCCCAGAAGGAAUCUAACAACAAUAUAUCAAAUAAGGAACUGUUAACACUAGCAUGCUAAUAAUUUAACCCGAACGUAGCAGAACGUAUUUCUAUGCAAUAAACUUUAUCAAUGUGCUCCUUAUAUUAUGUAGACAUGAGAUUUUACAGUAAAGACAUAUCUAGAACUGCUAUGCUCUAGACGUGAUAUAGCAACACCAAAAUAUGUUAAUGAAAACAAAAUCAAAAUUGCGAAUAUAAUAUAAUAGGUUGAAUUGAAUCGGGAUGCCUUUUUUAACUUUUAUUUUCAAGCUCUCGAAUUUUUGAAUGAAAAAACCCUUUAUGUAGUAUAUUGUCGCGGGUUCUUUUUGCUUUAACUUUUAUGUCAGAUAAGCUUUCUGGGUAAAUUAGAUUAAGCAUCAACAAAAAUAUAUCUCAAUACUUUCUCAAUUUAAAUUUGAUUAGUUUAAUGUAGACAGCUUGCAGUUCAUUUCUUAUGAGAAACGAUGUUGUCUUAUUUGACCUAUUUAAUAUACUUGUAUAAUUAUAAGACUUGAGAUUGGACGGUUAAGCUUAUCAAGAACUGCUAUGAUCUAGUGACCAAUUUAAGAUUUCGAAUAUAAUUUAAUAGGUUGAUUUAAAUCGGAAUGCCGUUUUUUAACUUUUAUUUUCAAGCUCUAAGAUUUUUUAGAUACCUUUUCAAAAACAUUUUCGACUCUGUUUUGCUUUAAUUUGUAUGUUUCAUGCUUUCUGGGGAUUAGG